AUACAAACAGAUACACAUACAAACAUGCAAAAUUAAAUUGUUUAGGACAACAGGGCCUGAAUUUCGAUUUUUACACCAUAGAUACAAUGAGGAUUUCAAGCAAAUAAUAUUUUAUACCUAUACAAUUAAAAGUUGUGUUAGCUCAAUUUAACGUUCUGAAAUUAACUUGAUGAAUUAACUUUAUGAAAGGGUUUUUUAACAAAAAGCAAUUUAGGAAAAUGACUUUUAUUUAGCAGCACAUUUCAUUAGCGGCAGAUAAACACUAAGUGUUCCAAAACAUAUGGAGCAGCUGAACACUUUGCUGGAGGCAAGAAAAGGGCUGUCUUUACCACAGGGCAAAAUGGGCCGAUACUUUAGUCCCUGUAUUAUGUAGGGAUCCUUAGCAGCUGCCCUUUGGGCCCUGUACACCAGGGAUUUGUAACAUAUGCAACCAAUCACUAAGCAGUCAACCCAUCAAUAUUUCCUCCGGCAGCUCAUGGGUUAAUCCUGUAGCAUGGUUGAGCGAUCAGCACUUGUCUUUCCUGUGCAGAGUUAGACUCACUGGCUGGUGGUAAUUCCUGCCUCUGUUUCACUAUAAUCAUGCCAGUCAAGUGCACACUUGGUCACUAUGAAAGAGCUAUAGUGAUAAUGUACAGGCUGAGGGAAGUAAUAGGAGGAUUGCAAAGAGAAAAUUGGUGGAGGGAGAGAGUCUGAAAAACAUAAUGGGGGCUCUGGAGAGAUUAGAGAUAAGAGGGGGCAGAAAAUGAAGAAUAAUAAUUGUAAUAAUUACUGGAUUUUCCAUAAACCUUUUGGUAGCAGUAUUCAACAUAGAUGUUUCGUUUGGGCCUUUGAGAAAGAACUUGAUGGGGGUUAGUGUGUGUAGUGUGUGGGGCAGUGGUUCUUUUGACCCCUCCUGCUUACCUUUUGGCAGAAGGGGACUAUUAUCCCUGGUGGUCCAGUGGAGGGCACUUUGGACUGGAUCCUUAGUGGUCUGGUGGAGGGUAAGCUGGAGAAGGUGCCUGGUGGUUCGGUGGUGGAGCAUUGAGGUCUGCACUGAUAUUAGCUGCAGAUCACUUUAACAGCUCCC
This is a non-coding RNA of Pelobates cultripes (western spadefoot toad), 1066 nucleotides long. The record is from the annotation of a GenBank genome assembly. Lineage: Eukaryota; Metazoa; Chordata; Amphibia; Anura; Pelobatidae.